Molecule: long non-coding RNA, 913 nt
Organism: Numida meleagris (helmeted guineafowl)
Lineage: Eukaryota; Metazoa; Chordata; Aves; Galliformes; Numididae
Exons: 4
Source: RefSeq, a predicted model, not a curated record
UCAUUGCUGACAUUUCUGCAUGUGCUAUUUUGUUCUUCCUUGUCCUGUGUCCUUUCUACCUAUUGAAAUUGUAAACAUUUUCAAACUAAAAAUACACAUUUUUCUCCUUCUGUCAGAUUAUGGCACGCAUACUCUUGCUGAUCCGUUACAUGGCACUCUGCCAAACAAAACUGGUAAAAGGAAACGUAACAGAAAAUGAGUUUUGAGAAGCAGGUUCUGCCUUGUGUUGACUGAGGAAGGGAUUUAUCCAGGGCUACUGCAAAGGCAAGGGAAAGUAGGGAGAAGAAUCAAGCUGAUUUUCUACCGGUUCCUGAUGUAGAGGACAUCGUGAUGCUUGAUGACUCCUGUGCAGAUCCCAUGACCAUUUUCAGUUAUUUUGUAAGGCUGUGCUGUGUCAGGGGCCAGAUCUAGGAUGUGAAGAGCACAAGGGCAGAUUUCACCGUGAUUAUCAUUAUUUGUGUUUGUCAAGCGCAUCUAAAUCUUUCCAUUGUUCUAUCAUCUCUGGGAUGUGAAGAGAAAAUCUUAAAGCUUAACUCUUUGCUCAAAAUUAACUUUUUGUUGUGGAAUCUCCUCAGCACUGUUGAAGUUAUUAAUCCCUCCUUAAUCCCUAUCUAGACUUGCAAUUUUCCAUUUAGGACAACUUCAUGAAAAUAGCAGUCAUUUAAAAUGAAUGGAAAAAUAGAACAUAGCAGCUAUAGUGACUGUUUUUGUUUGUUUGUUUGUUUGUUUUCCCUAAAUCGUUAAAACAUAUUUAACCUUGAACUAGAACUUAUUGUAGAAAUCUUAGCUAAAUAAAAGUACUUGGUAAAGUCUGUCAUCCCCAGUGCUGAAUUAUUAUGUAUUGUGUGUUUAGUCAAUACCACAAACGCAGCUCUUGCGCCAUACUUGAGUACUAUUUUAGGAGAGAAAUUAU